CAGGUACUCUUACUCCUUCAAAAUCCACUUUGAGAGGGAUGGACAAUCACAUCAACUUUUUCACUUUUUAUUAAAGAAAAUCACUUUUUGUACAUGAACAUCCUAUUGCAGACAAGAGGCAGACAGCUAUGAAGGAUAUGUGAAGACAUAUUUCGUUUUUAUUUUCUUUUAGGCAUAGAGGGAUAUGUUAAUCCAUUUCCACAUACAAUUCCUAUAAUUACAUAUAGGGAGUGAACCUUGAAUGGUUAAAAACCUGUUGCCAACGAGUACAACUGGAGAGAAGAAACUCCAGGAGUUGAAGACAGCAAAUUACCUUCCUUCCAGCCUGAUAGCACACGGAGUUGCUCUUGAGAGAGUGAGCUUCCUCCUUCUGCAGACACUGAUGCAGUAGUGGCCAUUUUGUCCUCUCUUGUAAACAUCUGGUCUGAGUCUCUCUUGCUGCUGCCUAGGCUACAACAGCUGUUUGUGGACUCAGUGACAACUCCAAGUGUACACCGCGCCAGACUAAACACUCUCUUCUUGUUGCCCUGUAACUUUUCUGCAAACACAUCUUAGAGUAAGACUUUAAACCUUUGACCUCCCAUACCAAAAGAAGAAAAUAAAAUGCAAACAAAAAAAAAAGAAAAAAUAAUAAAACGGAACUAAUCUCACUGUAGUGUUCAUGGCUUAUUAUGGAAAGCAGGUGUGUUUUUAAAAAAACUUUUAGAAUUUCUUUAACAAAAUUCUAAAGAGAAAGGAAAAAGAAAACAAAAAGAAAAUCAUAGUAUUUACAGAGAUAAACAGAAUGGCUUAGCCAUGCAAAACAAAGAACUUUGGUUUUGUUUUGUUUUUCCCUUUUCCCUUUGGUUUAAAUAUUGAUCAAGAUUCAAUUUUUUUCUUGCCAAAUUAAACUUCAAUAAAUCAAAGUUUAGAGGCAAAAUAACAUGUUUUCUUUUUUCCCCAUAUUUUAUACAGCAUUGAUUCUAAUAGAAUAUUUUAUGCAUUUAAUCCAUACCAAUGUACUAUAGGAAGCUUUUAUUAGGCUGAGACACUAUUGCUCAGAUAUCAAAUGGUUACAAAUGUACAAAGACACAUCUCUCAGUAUGCAGAAGUGGCAAAAGAUUAUUCCCAACCUCCAUCAGAGAUUAAUCUUUGAUUCGUUUCUCAUUGCCUUCAAAACAGUUUAUUCUUUGAGUCUAAAAGCAAACACCACAUUUCCUUUUCUCUCAAAGAACAGAGUUCUAUACCUGGAAAUCUAAUAGUCAUUUUUCUUUUCUCAGUUAAAGUUAUACACGUAAAUCUGGGACAAAAUGGCUGUGCAGUGUGAUCCCAGAAACCAAGCUUCUACCUGAAAGAGCAAAGAUUGAAGUCACAAACUGAUACUGGCCCUUAUCCAGUCUACUUCAAAAAGUUUCCAUGUACACUACCUCCUUAAAAAGUUCCUCAGGCAGAAAACAUGUUUAUAAAGUUACAAAUCUGAAUGUAACUAAAGAUACAUAGACAUUUUAUUAUUACACUUUCAUGUACUGCUUGAUAAAUUAUGUACCAGUUAAAAACACUAAAUUAUCUCAAGGUGCAUUCAAUAUCUGUAGCGUAGUUAACAAAAACACACACGAAAAAAAUAUAUAUUCUAUAUUCUGUGGAAAAUAACACAGCUUUAAUAAUGACCACUGUUAAAAAUCUUCAAUUCUGACUGAUAUCUUUUAUUUUAUUUUUUUUAAAGGAAAUAAGUGUCAUUUUAAGGCAGUGGAUAACCCAAAGGAUUUAACACCAAUUCUAAUUACAGAGAUUUACAUUGUGAUCUGUGAAAAUGGGAAUGCUAGCUGUAUUUCUCCAACUUUCUCUGACACAUUAGGUUUUUAUUUUCCUGAUUAUUUUUUUUCUAAUUUUUCUUUUGACUGAAUGUAAUUUCUUAGCAGGUGUCAAUAAGUAAAUGGGACCCCAAUUCUUUAGGGUGUACCAUUCACACCGUAUAGUGCUCCUGACUCUUGGGCUGGCCCCCCUUCCUCAUAAUUAAGAAACUGGCUUCUGACUGGGCAAGGUAUGUGUCUCCAAUUUCACAAACUGCCACCUUUGGGUUUCAGGUCCUGGUAAGAAAGUUUGGGGCAUUAUUGAUAGCAAUCAGAAUCAGAACUGUACCUGCUCAAGACUAUCCAUAUAAACAAUUGAAAUAAAACAUUACAUUAUACAUCCAAAUAACAGCCACUCCCAGAACAAAGCUUACAGUGUAUAAAAAUAGCUACGUAAAAAAUUUACAUAAAAGGCAAACUGAAAGGAAAUCCUUAGUGCAGACAUUUACAGAAACAAAAAGAAAACCAAAUACAACAUAUGACCUAUUAUCAUGGCUGCCAAAUUUUGUUGUUAUUUUGUUUUAUAACUUUGUUUCAUUGUUUUACUUGAGAUAAUUCUCUAAGAUCCUGUGACAGCUUGGUAGGAUGAACUGCUUAAUACUUGAACCAUGAAUUGCUGUCAUUGUCUUUGUAUAUGUCUUAAAUACAAUCCACGUUCAUGCUUCAAUUUGUCUACAUGGUUUUUCUCUGAAAUGAUGAAAAAACAUAAUGACGAGAAGUUACCAUAACAAUCAUUUUUCAUCAUCAACAGAACCUUUGUACUGAAACUGACAAUAAUUACAUUAUAGAAGGGAUUAUUUACAAACCCUGAUGUCCUGAGUCUACCUAUAAACCCAGCUCUAUCUACUCUACAAUGUGAUUUUGAAAUUGACGAUUUCUCCUUCCUUUCCUUCUUUCCUUCUUUCC
This 2735-nucleotide long non-coding RNA is filed under the name Cricetulus griseus (Chinese hamster). RNAcentral's name for it is "lncRNA (ENSCGRG00015033796.1)". The record is from RNAcentral. Lineage: Eukaryota; Metazoa; Chordata; Mammalia; Rodentia; Cricetidae.